This 226-nucleotide ribosomal RNA is filed under the name uncultured bacterium. RNAcentral describes it as "partial 16S ribosomal RNA". It matches the Rfam family "Bacterial small subunit ribosomal RNA", at positions 524 to 748 of the family's 1533-position model. The record is from RNAcentral.
UACGAAGGGGGCGAGCGUUGUUCGGAUUUACUGGGCGUAAAGGGCGCGUAGGCGGCCAUCGCAGUCGCGUGUGAAAGCCCCGGGCUCAACCUGGGAAUGGCGCGCGAUACUGGGUGGCUGGAGUUCGGGAGAGGAGCGUGGAAUUCCCAGUGUAGAGGUGAAAUUCGUAGAUAUUGGGAAGAACACCGGUGGCGAAGGCGGCACUUCUGGACCGAGACUGACGCUG